RNAcentral lists this long non-coding RNA (2835 nucleotides) under Acanthaster planci (crown-of-thorns starfish). RNAcentral's name for it is "uncharacterized LOC110978712". The record is from RNAcentral. Lineage: Eukaryota; Metazoa; Echinodermata; Asteroidea; Valvatida; Acanthasteridae.
AGUAAACCACGAUGGAUCGCUGAUCGCGAUCUGGAAUCGCAUGAAACAAACUCGCCCCAAAAGGUGUAGUUUGGAAAAUACCACGUGCGGAUCGGUAUGCGGAUCCAACUCCACUCGGUCACCGGAUAUGCUGGUUUUUGUGACAAAGUACACUGACGAUGAUGUAACUGAUUGAAAGCCACUGUGGUUCAUCUGCACGGCUUCAACAAACAAAAUACGUUGUGGAGCUUGUCUUCAAAUGUCAGGACAAGAGGAAGAUAAUCUCCCUGGCGACUGAACCACGUUACAGCUGCAAAUAUUUCACUGGAUGAAACACAAUUUAGGAAGUUUUCAACUCACAAGCAGGCGCCUCGUAGAUAGCAGGUAGUUGAUUUGAAUGUAGUCAUCUUUAAACAAUGUUUUACAACGCUGUGAAAGAAAAGGUUCUUUUCAGUGCUGCUUUCUUAAUGUAUGUGCAAGUCGAUCGUGGUCCAAGAGGCGUGAGUAAAUGUCAUUCAACAUCAGGGGACAGUGUACCUUGUGACGCUACAAAUGCCUUCCAUUUUGGUUCAAUUUCCCGGCAGGUUCGCCUUAAACCCGUCCCACCACAGCAGAAUCGUUCUUUGAUAGUUGUUUUCCAAAUGAAUGAGCUAUGCGCACUUUCUUACCACACCAAGAGAACGGACUGACAGUUAAUGACUUAGUUUCUGCUACAGUAGAUCUAGGUCGAGCACUGAUGCUCCUCGUGGAUCAAACAAAGCAGGCUGGCCGACCGAAGACUGCGUUCAAUUCACCUAAUAGGAACCUCCGCAACAGUGAGUCUAUUCCCAGUAACCGAUAAACAGACGUGGCACGAAACAACAACACAGUACGUGUGUUCCUAAGCCUAAAAUUCUGUUGCCAAAGUGAUAGUUUCUCAAUAUAUACGGGUAAAUGGCAACCCAGUUUAUUGAAAUCCUAAUAAAUUCGGUGUGCUCUUAGUUAAUCAUGGGCGUUCAUGAAAAGUUAGCUGCUGAUAUUAUCAUUUUUGUUAUUAAGGCAAAGGAUCUUUGAGGAUUUCUGGCCAAGAAACACGCCAAUAACUCGACACGCAGUAGAUGUGGGUAACAUCUUGUAAAGGGAAACUCUAGAAGUACCCCACUUGACGGGUGAACUUCGGGCGCAUUACCUGACCUACUUUACUCCAAUUUUAAAUUUACCUGUACGCUUAAAAUGUGACUUUAAAUGAGAUCAAGAUGGUCGAACCAUAGGCAUCUUUCAUUGGCUAUAAUUCGUGCCGUUAUCUUUGUUCUGAAGAAAGCUUAAACUUAAAACCCAAACGAAAUUCUGUCGCUCUGGGUCCCCCCUUUUUAAGUUGUUGUUGUUGGUUUUUUAUUAUUUCCUCUUCUUUUCAUAAAGACUACCGUAGGUAUAGAAAUGUAAAGAUAGGAAUAUCAAGUUUAGAAGAGGAAGUAAGACUAAAAAACAAAAGCUUGUGUAAGGCCUGCUUUUCUACAAUACUUCACACAAUAAUAAAGCAUGUGGUUCAUACUAGAAAACAAACAAAAAAGACAAAAUUCAAAAUCGAAUACACAUUAGGAAACGGGAGUUACAGAAGAAAGUAUGUACAAGUUACGAAUGCAAAUUAUCAAGAAACAUUGCCAAGUUAAUUAAAGCAGUAAACGAAAACCUGCUGACUAUCGAUGAAUGUAAAUUACGCGAUUGUUUGGCUGGUACCCUCAGUACUCUCGCUUGGUAAAUUCGGAUGUGAUUUGCACAUUUCGGUAUUCCUAGAAAUGGACGGUACCAAUUAGAAAUGAGCAAAAGACACAAACUCUUAUAUGUAAUAGUACGCUACAUGUAUACAAAAUUCAAAAUCGAAUACACAUUAGGAAACGGGAGUUACAGAAGAAAGUAUGUACAAGUUACGAAUGCAAAUUAUCAAGAAACGUUGCCAAGUUAAUUAAAGCAGUAAACGAAAACCUGCUGACUAUCGAUGAAUGUAAAUUACGCGAUUGUUUGGCUGGUACCCUCAGUACUCUCGCUUGGUAAAUUCGGAUGUGAUUUGCACAUUUCGGUAUUCCUAGAAAUGGACGGUACCAAUUAGAAAUGAGCAAAAGACACAAACUCUUAUAUGUAAUAGUACGCUACAUGUAUAAGUUUGAGCUUAUACUUACAUGCAGGUUUAAUAUCAAGUCUGCAUUAUCAUUAACAGAUUAAACUCGUCGAGUGGUGUAGAUUAGUAAUAGAACGAUAUAAUGGAUCAGAGAAAUCUGAAUUGCCUUGCCCUGAAGAAGGUACUCAGUUAUCGAAAGCUCAGCAAUCACAUAUUUCAGAGUACUGAUUUGAUAUUAUAUUCUUGUCAGUAAUACAACGAUGUUUGUCGCUUCGAUGUGACCUUGUUCCAAAACUUCUCUGUCGUGCGGAACACCAGUCCAGCUUUAAUAUUGUGUGCUGUUUAUUCAUGGCGCAUUUAUCACUAUGCAAAUAUUCAUAGAGAAAAGUGCAGGUAGGUUAUUUGUCUCUUUUAGAGAAGAAGUUAAGUUCCCCUUUGUAAUUCCACACAGCGCCGCUUUUGUUUGCAGUUGAACAGCUAUUUGGGCAAAAAGCUGAAAUUGUUUAAUUUAAACGGUCUAUUGCGGUUUAUUUGAUACCACAUCCUUGAAAUAAAAUUCCAAAGUUACAUGUUAAUUGAGUUGCCAGUGAAAACAAUAUACAGCCAACGGUUAACCAGAUAAGAAUAUGAUUGAUGUAUAGAAUUACACGAGUUAAGAAUAAGAAGUAUAGCCUAAGAAAACAAAGCGAACUUCCGUGAGUUUUUCUUAGUUUGGUUCCAACUUGCAUUUAAUCAGCUAAUAGAGUAACGGUAGCCAUGAA